GAUGAACGCUAGCUACAGGCUUAACACAUGCAAGUCGAGGGGAAACGAUAUUGGAAGCUUGCUUCCGAUAGGCGUCGACCGGCGCACGGGUGAGUAACGCGUAUCCAACCUGCCCAUCACUUGGGGAUAACCCUGCGAAAGUAAGACUAAUACCCAAUGACGUCUCUAGAAGACAUCUGAAAGAGAUUAAAGAUUUAUCGGUGAUGGAUGGGGAUGCGUCUGAUUAGCUUGUUGGCGGGGUAACGGCCCACCAAGGCGACGAUCAGUAGGGGUUCUGAGAGGAAGGUCCCCCACAUUGGUACUGAGACACGGUCCAAACUCCUACGGGAGGCAGCAGUGAGGAAUAUUGGUCAAUGGGCGAGAGCCUGAACCAGCCAAGUAGCGUGCAGGAUGACGGCCCUAUGGGUUGUAAACUGCUUUUAUAAGGGAAUAAAGUGGGAGUCGUGACUCCUUUUGCAUGUACCUUAUGAAUAAGGACCGGCUAAUUCCGUGCCAGCAGCCGCGGUAA
RNAcentral lists this ribosomal RNA (508 nucleotides) under uncultured bacterium. RNAcentral describes it as "partial 16S ribosomal RNA". It matches the Rfam family "Bacterial small subunit ribosomal RNA", at positions 28 to 523 of the family's 1533-position model. The record is from RNAcentral.